UGGGGAAUCUUGCGCAAUAGGCGAAAGCCUGACGCAGCCAUGCCGCGUGAAUGAUGAAGGUCUUAGGAUUGUAAAUUCUUUCAGCGGGGACGAUAAUGACGGUACCCGCAGAAGAAGCCCCGGCUAACUUCGUGCCAGCAGCCGCGGUAAUACGAAGGGGGCUAGCGUUGCUCGGAUUUACUGGGCGUAAAGGGCGCGUAGGCGGAUUGACAAGUUGGGGGUGAAAGCCCGGGGCUCAACCUCGGAAUUGCCUUCAAAACUGUCAGUCUUGAGUUCGGGAGAGGUGAGUGGAACUCCGAGUGUAGAGGUGAAAUUCGUAGAUAUUCGGAAGAACACCAGUGGCGAAGGCGACUCACUGGCCCGAUACUGACGCUGAGGCGCGAAAGCGUGGGGAGCAAACAGGAUUAGAUACCCUGGUAGUCCACGCUGUAAACGAUGAGUGCUAGUUGUCGGCAGGCAUGCCUGUCGGUGACGCAGCUAACGCAUUGAGCACUCCGCCUGGGGGAGUACGGUCGCAAGAUUAAAACUCAAAUGAAUUGACGGGGUCAUAGCUG
Molecule: ribosomal RNA, 554 nt
Filed under: uncultured bacterium
Lineage: Bacteria
Description: partial 16S ribosomal RNA
Rfam family: Bacterial small subunit ribosomal RNA
Source: RNAcentral